CAGUCGCCGCGGUAAUACGUAGGUGGCAAGCGUUGUCCGGAAUUAUUGGGCGUAAAGGGCUCGCAGGCGGUUUCUUAAGUCUGAUGUGAAAGCCCCCGGCUCAACCGGGGAGGGUCAUUGGAAACUGAGAAACUUGAGUGCAGAAGAGGAGAGUGGAAUUCCACGUGUAGCGGUGAAAUGCGUAGAGAUGUGGAGGAACACCAGUGGCGAAGGCGACUCUCUGGUCUGUAACUGACGCUGAGGAGCGAAAGCGUGGGGAGCGAACAGGAUUAGAGACCCCUGUAGUCCCUGUCCUUAUACA
This 301-nucleotide ribosomal RNA is filed under the name uncultured bacterium. RNAcentral's name for it is "partial 16S ribosomal RNA". It matches the Rfam family "Bacterial small subunit ribosomal RNA", at positions 509 to 809 of the family's 1533-position model. The record is from RNAcentral.